ACUGUCUGGCUCGCUUUCAUGAAAGCCUGCCUUUCUUCUUCGUCUCUGUUGACCUCCUGCCAUUCACGUUGGAUCUUAUGCCCAGCAGUUCUUUCUACUCACUGUGGGGCUUUGUCUUAGAAUGCACUUUUGUCUGGUGAGUUUUGAACAUCCGUGGGGCCUAAACUCGCAGGCCUUUUCAGAUCUGUCUACCCGCAGCAAGUCAAGUCUGCAAAGCUCCCUCAGGCGAACACUGCUCUCAGUUGGGCCCCUGGGGUUCGCGGGAACACCUGCCGCUUGCCUAGGGAUUGAGAUGUACAGCGAAUGCUGUUUCCUUUCUGGACCAAAUUAAGAAUGGGGUUUCUUGUGAUUGAAGCCAUGGCCACAGAAAGGAUGGACACAUGUGCACAUCAUGGUAUGGACACACGUGCACAUCAUGGCAUGUGCACCAUUGACUUAUUAGGAAGUAAGACAACACGGGCCUAAGAGAGGAGGCUGGAGAGCUCCAUCAGCCAAGGCCGGAAUAAGAAGAGCCAGCAGGCUUUGCUCGGGCAUCUCUCGCAACCGUUGCAUGUCUCCAUACCAACUGCUAAGAGAAAAGGCAGAGCCACAGAGGCUGUGGCAUGGCCACGACUUCUGGCUGCAUGGGGCUGCACAGCGAUGCUGCAUUGCCUCUGACAGUUUCCAGAAUUCUGCCUCAGAAGGUCAGCCACAUUCACCUGCGGAGAUAUUUUGGGCAGUCGUGACUCCCUUCUCUUGUUAUUCUCAUCAAUUCUCUUAGUGCAGUCACUAAGGCUUUUGAGAGAAAGCUUCAGAGCUAGUCUCCUGUACAACGCAAUGUUCAACACUUCUCCUAUUCUUGUUCAAACCAGUAAAAAUAUCAGAAAAAAUGGAGAAAGGACGAUGCUGACAAGCUGGGUCCUUUUUAUAUACAUCCCGGAGAGAGAGAUGCUUAAAUUCAGUGGCCCAGUCUUACUGGUGUUACCUGUAUUCCACAAACACAUGAAGCACAACCACGUUCCCGUGCUUCAAUGAGCACUUAAUGUUAAGGGCUGCUUUAGCUCGCCACACAAAACUCUGCCUCCUUCAUCCAGUUAUCAAAAACCAUUGAUAAUUGUUUCUGGGAAGGUUACAGGUGGUGAGACAUGGGUGGAAGUUUCAGGACAGGCCUAGUAACCUGAAGGUGAGCAUUUGGGAAAGAUGGAAGUGUGAGCUAUGAGCAGCUAGCACUUGCAGCUGCUGGGAGAACGGUGUGUUGGUCUGAUCAGGGGACAGAGGUUGGCUGGAACCACAACCCUGGCCUUUCUAACAAUGCGUUUGCCUAGGUGCUGGUGUCUACUUGGUGAUCCUGUCUCUGUCUCUGUUUUGGUGAGGGUCAUUUGCUCUGAGGUGUCUUCGUGGCAAUGUUCUAAAUAGUUAAUGACCAUGCCUUUGGAAAAAUCAAAAGCAAUUUCACAUUGCAACCCUGCAGGUCUCAGAAUCUCCGAGAUCUCUGUAUCUGCCUGACUGCUUUCAACCCUUCCUCCCUGAGACUGACCUCUGUCUUAAACUAUCUUGUCAAAUGCAGAUGCUAACACCAGUGCCCACAUCCAGGUUGACUAUCCCAGGGCUGACGUUCAUUUCAAAGAUUCCCAGAUUCCACGGGCCAUAGUUUUAUAAAAACCUUGGCCCAUAAAUAAAAUGAUUUUCCGUUCUCUGGC
Molecule: long non-coding RNA, 1679 nt
Filed under: Mus musculus (house mouse)
Lineage: Eukaryota; Metazoa; Chordata; Mammalia; Rodentia; Muridae
Description: expressed sequence AA387883
Source: RNAcentral